This 330-nucleotide ribosomal RNA is filed under the name uncultured Chloroflexota bacterium. Its description in RNAcentral is "bacterial SSU rRNA". It matches the Rfam family "Bacterial small subunit ribosomal RNA", at positions 28 to 351 of the family's 1533-position model. The record is from RNAcentral. Lineage: Bacteria; Bacillati; Chloroflexota.
GAUGAACGCUGGCGGCGUGCCUAAUACAUGCAAGUCGAACGAGGUGCUUUUGUAGCAAUACGGAAGUAUCCUAGUGGCGAACGGGUGAGUAACGCGUUGGUGACCUACCCCAAAGUGUGGGAUACCAGUCCGAAAGGACUGCUAAUACCGCAUGUGGUCUUCGGGCUUAGAAACCGAUGACUAAAGGAGCAAUUCGCUUUGGGAGGGACCUGCGUCCCAUCAGCUAGUUGGUAGGGUAACGGCUUACCAAGGCUACGACGGGUAGGGGACCUGAGAGGGUGGCCCCCCACAAUGGAACUGAAACACGGUCCAUACACCUACGGGUGGCAG